Molecule: ribosomal RNA, 1011 nt
Filed under: Acidobacteria bacterium JGI 0001001-H03
Lineage: Bacteria; Pseudomonadati; Acidobacteriota
Description: bacterial LSU rRNA
Rfam family: Bacterial large subunit ribosomal RNA
Source: RNAcentral
CCCAGUAAACGGCGGCCGUAACUAUAACGGUCCUAAGGUAGCGAAAUUCCUUGUCGGGUAAGUUCCGACCUGCACGAAUGGCGUAACGACAGCGGCGCUGUCUCCACCCGAGACUCAGUGAAAUUGAAAUCGCUGUGAAGAUGCAGCGUUCCCGCGGCAAGACGGAAAGACCCCGUGAACCUUUACUAUAGCUUUACAUUGAACGUUGAGUUCGUCUGUGUAGGAUAGGUGGGAGGCUUUGAAGCGCAGGCGCUAGCUUGCGUGGAGCCAUCCUUGAAAUACCACCCUGAUGUGCUUGACGUUCUAACCUGGGCCCGUUAUCCGGGCCGGGGACCAUGUAUGGUGGGUAGUUUGACUGGGGCGGUCUCCUCCCAAAGAGUAACGGAGGAGCACGAAGGUACGCUCAGCGCGGUCGGACAUCGCGCACUGUGUGCAAAGGCAUAAGCGUGCUUGACUGCGAGAUCGACGGAUCAAGCAGGUACGAAAGUAGGUCUUAGUGAUCCGGUGGUUCUGUAUGGAAGGGCCAUCGCUCAACGGAUAAAAGGUACUCCGGGGAUAACAGGCUGAUACCGCCCAAGAGUUCAUAUCGACGGCGGUGUUUGGCACCUCGAUGUCGGCUCAUCACAUCCUGGGGCUGUAGUCGGUCCCAAGGGUAUGGCUGUUCGCCAUUUAAAGUGGUACGCGAGCUGGGUUCAGAACGUCGUGAGACAGUUCGGUCCCUAUCUGUCGUGGGCGUUGGAGAUUUGAGAGGGGCUGCUCCUAGUACGAGAGGACCGGAGUGGACGAACCUCUGGUGUUCCGGUUGUCCUGCCAAGGGCAUUGCCGGGUAGCUAUGUUCGGAAGCGAUAACUGCUGAAAGCAUCUAAGCGGGAAGCGCGCCUCAAGAUGAGAUCUCCCGGGAGCUUGACUCCCCUAAAGGAACGAUCAAGACCAGGUCGUUGAUAGGUCGGGUGUGUAAGCGCAGCAAUGCGUUGAGCUAACCGAUACUAAUGAUCCGUGCGGCUUGACCAU